UACGUAGGGUGCGAGCGUUGUCCGGAAUUAUUGGGCGUAAAGGGCUCGUAGGCGGUUUGUCGCGUCGGGAGUGAAAACCUUGGGCUUAACUCAGGGCUUGCUUUCGAUACGGGCAGACUAGAGGUAUGCAGGGGAGAACGGAAUUCCUGGUGUAGCGGUGAAAUGCGCAGAUAUCAGGAAGAACACCAAUGGCGAAAGCAGCUCUCUGGGACGGUACUGACGCUGAGACGCGAAAGCGUGGGGAGCGAACAGG
This 253-nucleotide ribosomal RNA is filed under the name uncultured bacterium. RNAcentral's name for it is "partial 16S ribosomal RNA". It matches the Rfam family "Bacterial small subunit ribosomal RNA", at positions 524 to 776 of the family's 1533-position model. The record is from RNAcentral.